ACUCAAAGGAAUAGACGGGGGCCCGCACAAGCGGCGGAGCAUGCGGAUUAAUUCGAUGCAACGCGAAGAACCUUACCAAGGCUUGACAUCACCCGGAAUUCAUCAGAGAUGGUGGAGCCUUCGGGCUGGGUGACAGGUGGUGCAUGGUUGUCGUCAGCUCGUGUCGUGAGAUGUUGGGUUAAGUCCCGCAACGAGCGCAACCCUUGUCUCAUGUUGCCAGCACGUUGUGGUGGGGACUCAUGGGAGACUGCCGGGGUCAACUCGGAGGAAGGUGGGGAUGACGUCAAAUCAUCAUGCCCCUUAUGUCUUGGGCUUCACGCAUGCUACAAUGGCCGGUACAACGGGUUGCGAUACUGUAAGGUGGAGCGAAUCCCUAAAAGCCGGUCUCAGUUCGGAUUGGGGUCUGCAACUCGACCCCAUGAAGUCGGAGUCGCUAGUAAUCGCAGAUCAGCAACGCUGCGGUGAAUACGUUCCCGGGCCUUGUACACACCGCCCGU
This 497-nucleotide ribosomal RNA is filed under the name uncultured bacterium. Its description in RNAcentral is "bacterial SSU rRNA". It matches the Rfam family "Bacterial small subunit ribosomal RNA", at positions 899 to 1397 of the family's 1533-position model. The record is from RNAcentral.